AAAUGCUGCUCCUAGUGCAAAUUCCUCUUCUCUCUCCCUCUCAUGGAGAGAUGAGCUGAUAUACUGUUUGUCUUCAGGAGCUUCUUCUCUCCUCUUGUAGCUUUUCUCAACCUGAGGGUACUAUUUCCAGAUAAAUUCUUAAAAAAUUGCUGGUGUCUCCACUGCAACAAUCCUGGGGAAGGUAUUUCUACGGCUCGCAGUGCCUUUUUGCAUGGAGGAGCAGUUGUGUAUUUGAUACGUCUUCAGAAGUCACGUAUUUACAAAGUCAGAUGCUGACAUCAAACACUUACCAGCCUUCGUCAUUUGAGGAAGAUGCUGCAUCCAUCACAUGAGGUUUUCCUGUUCAAGGCUGGUUGAACACUGACACGUGCUCCACGUCUGGCAGAGGGCUUUCCUGGAGGGGGAAUCCUAUCCUACUGCUGUGCAGGAAGGGGGGUUUCUGCAGUGUACAGCCACGUAAUGAGACUGGGUGGGCGAGAGCUGGAGUUAUAGGUAGACCUUUCUGCUCACCUAUAGGUACACUGUCUUAGAGUGCUGGGUGCUCUGUUCAUGUCUGACAACCUUGAACUUUGCCUGCUAUGAUGCUCUGGCAAGUACAAGCAUGGCUGAAGUCUCUGACAAGGCUGUGCAUGACUUGUGGAAACACUGGUAGCUGUUUCACCUAGGCUUUAGCAGAUUAUUGAAUGUACUUGCAUGCUGAUCAUUGCGUUUGCCCGAGCCUUGUGGGAGCUCCUGGGGCCCAGGAUCCUGUCCUAUCCCUCUCACUGAGGCAUUUGUGAGUCCUUGUAGGAAGGCUAAUUCAGAAGAAUCCACUAAAAAGACAGGUCCAUAUUCCAGAAGGUCCUUUGUCAUAGUUCAUUGCAUGAGAAAAAAGAUAGGUUUGCUUUACCUUCCCUGUGUCCUCAAGGAGAGCCGGCUAGAAGUACUCAGGUGCUUGUUUCUGCAAAACUCAGCUGCCUCCUUGCUUGGGCUGCAAACCCCUGGAGGAUAUUCAUCUCACCCUGGCAGAGCUGAGCUAUAUUCAGAGUCUGGAUGUUGCUGCAGUGCCCUUAUUAAGCUUUUUGAGGCUAUUUCAGAAAAGGUAACUGCAGUGACUGUCAAGUGUGUUUGAAUUCAGGUGUGACACUGUGACUACAGGACAGCAAGGAGUUCAUUAGCUUUUCUGGGAUCAGGGAAGAUGUGCCCUAUUUUUUUUGCUGCUUGACUAUGCACAAUGGUUGCUGAUGAGAAACAAGAAUUCAAGGAAGAAGCUGAGGCUGGAGGGGCAAACAUUGUUCAGCUGGUGCCAGAAGCAAGGCUCUGUAAUGGGUUUGAGUAAUUCAGGCAGCAAAGGGUCAGUGAUGGAAGAUCUCAGGGGCAGAAGUCUGAUGCUUCCAACUUGAAAUUACCAGUUUCUGGGCAGCUGAGACCUCCUGCUUCUGCUGCAGUUGCUUCAAGGGGGCACCAUGUGGAGGCAAAAGCUGGCUUGUUUGCUGUGUUUGGCUAGGCUUGCCUGGAGUGUACAGAACAUGGCAAAUUUGACUAAGAGGUACUUGGCUAUUAUGGGAUCUUUUUUUUUUUAUUAUUAUUAUUAUUAUUUUUUUUAAGUAUAAGUGAUUAAACUAGUGCAGGUUUGUUUUCCAUCUGGUGAAUCUUUCAUCAGAUAAAAGACCAAGAGGCUUGGUGGCUGGCAUUUGGGUUUUUCUCAUGCUUUUGUUCUGGAGUUUCAGUAGAAGGGAGCUGAGCAAGCAGACUCUUGUGCGAGUACUACUGUUAAUGCAGCUUUGUUCAUUUCAUCUUAAGGUCUGUUUCUUCUGAUAUGGGAAUGGGGAGAGGUGAACCUAAACUACUGAGGUAAAGAGAAACUGAGCUUGUAUCUGUGUUGUGGUACAGUUUUAUUAGUUAUGAGAACCUAAAACAUAGCAACUGUGGUGACUUGGACAAACUGCUUCUAAAGCAGCAUCAGUGUAUUAGAGUUGAAUCCUGAUCUGGGAAGUGGUGGACAAAGCUGAGAUGGGAACUUCCAGCAUUUCUUUUCCCUCUCCAAAUCUGGCUUUAAUAAAACUGGGCUGAAACC
This is a long non-coding RNA of Oxyura jamaicensis (ruddy duck), 2056 nucleotides long. RefSeq lists it as uncharacterized. Lineage: Eukaryota; Metazoa; Chordata; Aves; Anseriformes; Anatidae. The record is from RefSeq and is a predicted model, not a curated record. The transcript is spliced from 3 exons.